Oreochromis niloticus (Nile tilapia) is the source of this 106-nucleotide long non-coding RNA. RefSeq lists it as uncharacterized. NCBI's taxonomy places the organism in Eukaryota, Metazoa, Chordata, Actinopteri, Cichliformes, Cichlidae. The record is from RefSeq and is a predicted model, not a curated record. The transcript is spliced from 3 exons.
AUAGACACAAAUCACAAGCUAAUAAGGUACAAUGUUGUGAUCUUUGGUGGAGUGGAUGGCUACUCAAGGAAGGUCCUGUACUUGGAUGCAGCAACUAACAACAGGA